This is a non-coding RNA of Brassica napus (rape), 138 nucleotides long. NCBI's taxonomy places the organism in Eukaryota, Viridiplantae, Streptophyta, Magnoliopsida, Brassicales, Brassicaceae. The record is from Rfam.
AAAAAGCGUCGGAUGGCUAUUUAUACCACGCUCAGCCUAAGAUUAAAAGGGUGAGUGCUGUAUGGCACAAUCAAGACGUAUGGGCCGACAUUAUUUCUGGAAACCCCCAUAGGGUUGGCUCGCUCGGCCGACCCUCCU